This 576-nucleotide long non-coding RNA is filed under the name Monodelphis domestica (gray short-tailed opossum). RNAcentral describes it as "lncRNA (ENSMODG00000038240.1)". The record is from RNAcentral. Lineage: Eukaryota; Metazoa; Chordata; Mammalia; Didelphimorphia; Didelphidae.
GUUUCUACCCAAACAUAUCGGAAUAAGUGGUUGCAGGCAAGCAAAGCAUAUGAUGGUGCCCCUGUGGUUUUCAGAUGGCUCAGCAGAUGUAUUUGGUUCAAGAUUGGAGGGGGAGUGGCAGACAUACAGUUUGGCCAGUGAGGCUAUGAAACAAAGUGAGGCAAAAGGACACAGAAUGUUAGCCACCAUUGAGAUCCCAUGCACUCUAGUGAGGAUACUGCACAAACUGUGGAGAGUUGAGCUGUUCCUCAGCUGCAGUCCCCACCUUUCACUGGUUCUACUCACUCUUCUUUCCCCUUUUAAUGAGAUGCCAAAGAGAAACACCCCUUCCUUAAUGUUGCAGAUGGAAAGAACUAGCCCCAUGGCCUGGGACAAACCUCCUCCCCAAACCCCUUGUUCCUGGGUCCUGUCCUCACUGCUGUCAAAUGAUAGCUAAACCCCAGCAUGGAGGCAUGCUGUGUUGCCUUCCUCCCAAGGAGCAGAUUUUGCUCGCAAGCUCUCCCACCUUGGCUGCCUCCUGACCACAGUCAACAUGACUUUCAAAUCAAUAAAAUGUCCCCUUUUCUUUUGAAGCCA